UAUAUAUAUAUCAAUAUAUAUUUGUUUCUGUCUUCUUUUUACAGUAUUGGCAAGUGCAGGAGAACGAUUAGGGCUUCCCGGUCCUCCAGGCCCUCCUGGCCCCCCAGGUGCUUCUAUUCAGGGACCAGCUGGACCUCGUGGUCCUCCAGGAGAAGGACUCCCCGGCCCACGGGGCCCACCAGGAGAACCAGGGUCUUUUGUGCCCACGUCAGGUAGGUUCCCAAGCCAAAUCAUAUGUUGGAUUAUUUGAGAAAUUGUUCCUCUGCAGUUCACA
RNAcentral lists this long non-coding RNA (274 nucleotides) under Crocodylus porosus (Australian saltwater crocodile). RNAcentral's name for it is "lncRNA (ENSCPRG00005012494.1)". The record is from RNAcentral. Lineage: Eukaryota; Metazoa; Chordata; Crocodylia; Crocodylidae.